This is a long non-coding RNA of Hemibagrus wyckioides, 289 nucleotides long. RefSeq lists it as uncharacterized. The record is from RefSeq and is a predicted model, not a curated record. NCBI's taxonomy places the organism in Eukaryota, Metazoa, Chordata, Actinopteri, Siluriformes, Bagridae. The transcript is spliced from 3 exons.
AGAAAUUGUGGUUGAUUCAGAACACACCUUUGUGGAAAGUGACAUCAAGUGGACACCAAGUGAAUUUCUUUCUGCAAUACUCAACAUUAGAGUAUCAUCUACAACGGCUUCUCCAGUGACUCCAAAACGUGUUGCUUUGACUUCAACAUCAACUCCAUCAAUAAUAUCUGGUUCAGCAGUGGUUCAGACCAGGAUGGUUUUCAGUUCCACCUCAUCAAUUCCCAGUAAAAGUUUGGUCCUCAGUUCAAUUCAGACUCUUCUGAGUGUUCAACUCACAAACCUCAUUGAC